UACAGAGGUGGCAAGCGUUGUUCGGAAUUACUGGUCGUAAAGGGCGCGUAGGCGGCCUUCUAAGUCAGACGUGAAAUCCCCCGGCUUAACCUGGGAACUGCGUCUGAUACUGGGAGGCUAGAGUGCGGGAGAGGGAUGCGGAAUUCCAGGUGUAGCGGUGAAAUGCGUAGAUAUCUGGAGGAACACCGGUGGCGAAGGCGGCAUCCUGGACCGACACUGACGCUGAGGCGCGAAAGCUAGGGUAGCAAACGGG
RNAcentral lists this ribosomal RNA (253 nucleotides) under uncultured bacterium. RNAcentral describes it as "partial 16S ribosomal RNA". It matches the Rfam family "Bacterial small subunit ribosomal RNA", at positions 524 to 776 of the family's 1533-position model. The record is from RNAcentral.